Molecule: long non-coding RNA, 1398 nt
Organism: Ictalurus furcatus (blue catfish)
Lineage: Eukaryota; Metazoa; Chordata; Actinopteri; Siluriformes; Ictaluridae
Exons: 3
Source: RefSeq, a predicted model, not a curated record
CUGCCUUCUGUCAUCUGCAGGCUAGCAGUCAGGUUGCUAGCUGGAACAUAAAAUAGGUGUGUAUAUGAAAUUAUGUUGAGUUGAAUUUUAGUCUAGAAAUCCCAUGAAAAUGUCAUAAUUUAAUGAAUGAGUUUGUAUGCAGGAAACACAGCAGCAGGCUGAAGUAGAGCAGGAUGAAACAGCUGCAUCUUCAGGGUUUCAGGAAACUCAGAAAUCAAGUAGGCCUAAAGAUGCCAUAGGGUAGAUUGAGGGAGAAGCAGCUGGACCUUCAGGGAUUCAGGAGACAGGCAGUGUGAGUGAGGAUGAUCCUGAAGCAGGUCAAUGUGUAGCAGUGUCAUGGACAUGGGGAGUAAGCCAUACCAGCCUGAUCCAAAAUUCAUAGAAGUACAGCAACUUCCAAACAAGAUUUUGCGGUUUCAGGCGAACUGGUACAGUCAGUAUUCAUGGCUUCACUACAGUCCAACACCGAAAAAGGUUCUUUGUUUUGAGUGUGUCAAAGCAUACACCAUAAAAAAGACCACUUUGGAAAAAAGAAUGACCCUGCCUUCUGCACAAAGGGUUUCAAUAAUUGGAAGAAUGCCACAGAUAGCUUUAGUCGCUGUUUGGAUUGUUUAAAUAGACACCAAGGACUAUCAUGAAGAAUGUUGAUGUUGGAUGCAAAACAUUUUUAUUUUUAUUUUUUCCGUUAACAAGUAAUUUCAUAGUUUGCUUUCUUUUAGUCUUUGAUCUGUUGCUUUGUAUAAUUUGUAUUUAAAUGUAAAUACAGAUCUUAAUGUAAAUAUAGAUGUUAUAUUUUAAUAAAGCACUUGGUUGUCAACAUUAAACAGUCCUUUUUUUGGGGGGGGUGGGGUGGGGUGGGUGCCCCUACCAAUAUUGAGACCAAACCUACACCCUUGCAAUUUGACAUUCUCUGGAGAACUUUAGACAAAUUAGCUGUGCUUCUCACAUUGUCUCUGUCAAUCCAUUACAGCACACACGCACACACCCCUAAUAUACCACAGCUCCAUCUAAUUGACAUUGAGAAUUACAAGUGUAUUAGACUGAACCAGGUUUUGACCUGAAUCUAAGGUGAAAUAACACUUAUGUUAUACAAACAAUUAAAUCAAUGUCCGAGCUUCCAUGUCAGUAAAAACUGCCGAGAUCGCUUAUAGUUAACUUGUAAGAGAAGUAAGCAACAAUCAUAACAUGAACCAGUCCCCUACCUGAGCCUUGUAACCAGGUAACACAGUAAACAUUGUGUCUCACUAAUGACUCCCAGAGAGAUCAGCACACUCAUAUUCUCUCACAAUUUCUCAUCAAUUCAUACUGGUUUCCUCAGUUCCACAACUUUCUAACUCCUUAAACUUCCAGAAGCAAUUGGUGGGUCGAGACUAACACCUAUCAAACUUCAUGUACUGU